UACGUAGGGUGCAAGCGUUAAUCGGAAUUACUGGGCGUAAAGCGUGCGCAGGCGGUUAUGCAAGACAGAUGUGAAAUCCCCGGGCUCAACCCGGGAACUGCGUCCGAUACUGGUGGGCUUGAAUCCGGGAGAGGGAUGUGGAAUUCCAGGUGUAGCGGUGAAAUGCGUAGAUAUCUGGAGGAACACCGGUGGCGAAGGCGGCAUCCUGGACCGGUAUUGACGCUGAGGCGCGAAAGCCAGGGGAGCAAACGGG
RNAcentral lists this ribosomal RNA (253 nucleotides) under uncultured bacterium. Its description in RNAcentral is "partial 16S ribosomal RNA". It matches the Rfam family "Bacterial small subunit ribosomal RNA", at positions 524 to 776 of the family's 1533-position model. The record is from RNAcentral.